RNAcentral lists this ribosomal RNA (324 nucleotides) under uncultured eukaryote. RNAcentral's name for it is "partial 18S ribosomal RNA". It matches the Rfam family "Eukaryotic small subunit ribosomal RNA", at positions 1470 to 1796 of the family's 1831-position model. The record is from RNAcentral.
CCCUUAGAUGUUUUGGGCUGCACGCGCGCUACACUGAAGCUAUCAACACGUUUUCCCUCCCUGAGAAGGGCGGGUAACCUUUUGAAUCAGCUUCGUGGUAGGGAUCGGGGCUUGCAAUUGUUCCCCGUGAACCAGGAAUUCCUAGUAGACGCGAGUCAUAAGCUCGCAUCGAUUAAGUCCCUGCCCUUUGUACACACCGCCCGUCGCUACUACCGAUUGAACGUUUUAGUGAGGCAUUUGGACCGACGCAUCUCAGUUUAACCGCUGGUUUGUGUUGGAAAGACUUCCAAACUUGAGCGUUUAGAGGAAGUAAAAGUCGUAACA